Non-coding RNA from Triticum aestivum (bread wheat), 135 nucleotides. The record is from Rfam. NCBI's taxonomy places the organism in Eukaryota, Viridiplantae, Streptophyta, Magnoliopsida, Poales, Poaceae.
CAUAUACUCUCUCCGUCUUAAAAUUCUUGUCUUAUAUUCAUCUAGACAUGAAUGUAUCUAAUACUAAAACGUGACUUGAUACAUCCGUAUUUAAACAAAUUUAAGACAAGAAUUUUGAGAUGGAGGGAGUACUAG